Molecule: ribosomal RNA, 253 nt
Filed under: uncultured bacterium
Lineage: Bacteria
Description: partial 16S ribosomal RNA
Rfam family: Bacterial small subunit ribosomal RNA
Source: RNAcentral
UACGGGGGGGGCAAGCGUUGUUCGGAAUUACUGGGCGUAAAGGGCUCGUAGGCGGCCAACUAAGUCAGACGUGAAAUCCCUCGGCUUAACCGGGGAACUGCAUCUGAUACUGGAUGGCUUGAGUUCGGGAGAGGGAUGCGGAAUUCCAGGUGUAGCGGUGAAAUGCGUAGAUAUCUGGAGGAACACCGGUGGCGAAGGCGGCAUCCUGGACCGGUAUUGACGCUGAGGAGCGAAAGCGUGGGGAGCGAACAGG